This is a long non-coding RNA of Gossypium raimondii (Peruvian cotton), 406 nucleotides long. RefSeq lists it as uncharacterized. The record is from RefSeq and is a predicted model, not a curated record. The transcript is spliced from 3 exons. Lineage: Eukaryota; Viridiplantae; Streptophyta; Magnoliopsida; Malvales; Malvaceae.
AGUGGGGGAAAUGUUUUUCUUCUUCCUCGUUACUGCCGAAAAACCAUUGAAGGCAAAUGGGAAAAGCUUGGUUAGUUUAUUUGCUAUCUUUGAAUGCAUAUCGAGAUACGAGAGCUUUUGUUGCCAAUCGUGAAAAAGAGAAAGCUACUGAAUAAUUGUUCACAAGCAUAAUUCCGGUUAGAUAAAUAGUAGAAUCGGACUCGGCAUCCUUCAAGUAUCCCGUACUUAAUGUUGGUAAUGUUUUCUUUUGUGUUUCUUUUUGGCAUGUACCUACGAGACAAAUUUAGUGAUAAUGUCCCUUUUGUUAGUAAGUCCUAGGGAAUAUGAAUUUAUAAGUUUAAAUGAUUGUAAAUACAUGUUUGAAGUUUUAUGCAUUACUUAAAAGUAAUGUUUGCUUAAAUGAUUU